GGAGAGAUGGCCGAGCGGUUUAAGGCACCGGUCUUGAAAACCGGCGAGGUGCAAGCCUCCGUGAGUUCGAAUCUCACUCUCUCCGCCA
RNAcentral lists this transfer RNA (88 nucleotides) under Trichlorobacter sp. RNAcentral's name for it is "tRNA-Ser". It matches the Rfam family "tRNA". From Rfam's summary of the family: Transfer RNA (tRNA) molecules are approximately 80 nucleotides in length. RNAcentral also lists the same sequence under 1 other name. The record is from RNAcentral. Lineage: Bacteria; Pseudomonadati; Thermodesulfobacteriota; Desulfuromonadia; Geobacterales; Geobacteraceae.